RNAcentral lists this ribosomal RNA (1416 nucleotides) under metagenome. RNAcentral's name for it is "bacterial LSU rRNA". It matches the Rfam family "Bacterial large subunit ribosomal RNA", at positions 1536 to 2925 of the family's 2925-position model. The record is from RNAcentral.
CAAAAUCCGGUUAUUCGUUAAUGCUGAGAUCUGACGACGAGGCUCUUCCAAGAGCUGAAGUAGUUGAUGCCAUACUUCCAGGAAAAAUCUCUAAGCUUCAGGUAAAUUUGAACCGUACCCCAAACCGACACAGGUGGACAAGUAGAGAAUACUCAGGCGCUUGAGAGAACUCGGGUGAAGGAACUAGGCAAAUUGGCACCGUAACUUCGGAAGAAGGUGCGCCGGCUGAGGUGAGAGGACUUGCUCCUUAAGCUUUAGCCGGUCGCAGAUACCAGGUGGCUGCGACUGUUUAUUAAAAACACAGCACUCUGCAAACACGAAAGUGGAAGUAUAGGGUGUGACGCCUGCCCGGUGCCGGAAGGUUAAUUGAUGGGGUCAGCCGCAAGGCGAAGCUCUUGAUCGAAGCCCCGGUGAACGGCGGCCGUAACAAUAACGGUCCUAAGGUAGCGAAAUUCCUUGUCGGGUAAGUUCCGACCUGCACGAAUGGCGUAACGAUGGCCACACUGUCUCCACCCGAGACUCAGUGAAAUUGAAAUCGCUGUGAAGAUGCAGUGUACCCGCGGCUAGACGGAAAGACCCCAUGAACCUUUACUGUAGCUUUGCACUGGACUUUGAACCUGUCUGUGUAGGAUAGGUGGGAGACUAUGAAACCUGGGCGCUAGCUUGGGUGGAGUCAACCUUGAAAUACCACCCUGGUAUGUUUAAAGUUCUAACCUAGGCCCGUCAUCCGGGUCGGGGACAGUGUAUGGUAGGCAGUUUGACUGGGGCGGUCUCCUCCCAAAGAGUAACGGAGGAGCGCAAAGGUACCCUCGGCAUGGUCGGAAAUCAUGCUAUGAGUGCAAAGGCAUAAGGGUGCUUAACUGCGAGACUGACGGGUCGAGCAGAUACGAAAGUAGGUCUUAGUGAUCCGGUGGUUCUUCAUGGAAGGGCCAUCGCUCAACGGAUAAAAGGUACUCUGGGGAUAACAGGCUGAUACCGCCCAAGAGUUCAUAUCGACGGCGGUGUUUGGCACCUCGAUGUCGGCUCAUCACAUCCUGGGGCUGAAGCAGGUCCCAAGGGUAUGGCUGUUCGCCAUUUAAAGUGGUACGCGAGCUGGGUUUAGAACGUCGUGAGACAGUUCGGUUCCUAUCUACCGUGGGCGUUAGAAAUUUGAGAGGAGCUGCUCCUAGUACGAGAGGACCGGAGUGGACGACCCUCUGGUGUUCCGGUUGUCACGCCAGUGGCAUUGCCGGGUAGCUAUGGUCGGACGGGAUAACCGCUGAAAGCAUCUAAGCGGGAAGCCUCCCUCAAGAUUAGAUUUCUCGAGUCUUAAGACUCCUAAAGGUCCGUCGUAGACUACGACGUUGAUAGGCUGGGUGUGUAAGCGUUGUAAAGCGUUGAGCUAACCAGUACUAAUUGACCGUGUGGCUUGACCAA